Molecule: ribosomal RNA, 253 nt
Filed under: uncultured bacterium
Lineage: Bacteria
Description: partial 16S ribosomal RNA
Rfam family: Bacterial small subunit ribosomal RNA
Source: RNAcentral
UACGGGGGGGGCAAGCGUUGUUCGGAAUUACUGGGCGUAAAGGGCUCGUAGGCGGCCAACUAAGUCCGACGUGAAAUCCCCAGGCUUAACCUGGGAACCGCGUCGGAUACUGGAUGGCUUGAAUUCGGGAGAGGGAUGCAGAAUUCCAGGUGUAGCGGUGAAAUGCGUAGAUAUCUGGAGGAAUACCGGUGGCGAAGGCGGCAUCCUGGACCGACAUUGACGCUGAUGAGCGAAAGCUAGGGGAGCAAACGGG